UUCCCUAAAAGUGGAAGCACUGCUUCAA
Molecule: small RNA, 28 nt
Filed under: Bombyx mori (domestic silkworm)
Lineage: Eukaryota; Metazoa; Arthropoda; Insecta; Lepidoptera; Bombycidae
Description: ovarian small RNA-37178
Source: RNAcentral